Molecule: ribosomal RNA, 446 nt
Filed under: uncultured bacterium
Lineage: Bacteria
Description: SSU rRNA
Rfam family: Bacterial small subunit ribosomal RNA
Source: RNAcentral
AGAGCGAACGCUGGCGGCAGGCCUAACACAUGCAAGUCGAGCGCCCGUAGCAAUACGGGAGCGGCAGACGGGAUAGUAACACGUGGGAACGCGCCCUUCGGUUCGGAAUAACUCAGGGAAACUUGAGCUAAUACCGGAUACGCCCUUACGGGGAAAGAUUUAUUGCCGAAGGAACGGCCCGCGUCCGAUUAGCUAGUUGGUGAGGUAAUGGCUCACCAAGGCUACGAUCGGUAGCUGGUCUGAGAGGAUGACCAGCAUCACUGGGACUGAGACACGGCCCAGACUCCUACGGGAGGCAGCAGUGGGGAAUAUUGGACAAUGGGCGCAAGCCUGAUCCAGCCAUGCCGCGUGGAUGAUGAGGCCUUAGGGUUGUAAAGUCCUUUUAACGGGAAGAUAAUGACGGUACCCGUAGAAUAAGCCCCGGCUAACUUCGUGCCAGCAGCCGC